GAGUUUGAUCUUGGCUCAGAACGAACGCUGGCGGCGUGCCUAACACAUGCAAGUCGUGCGAGAAAGUUCCCUUCGGGGAGCGUGUAAAGCGGCGCACGGGUGAGUAACACGUAGGUAACCUGCCCCAUAGUCGGGAAUAACCCGGGGAAACUCGGGCUAAUACCGGAUAAGACCACGGCUGCUCCGGCAGCUGCGGCUAAAGGUGGCCUCUACUUGUAAGCUAUCGCUAUGGGAUGGGCCUGCGGCCCAUUAGCUAGUUGGUAGGGUAACGGCCUACCAAGGCUGUGAUGGGUAGCUGGUCUGAGAGGAUGAUCAGCCACACUGGGACUGAGACACGGCCCAGACUCCUACGGGAGGCAGCAGUGGGGAAUAUUGCGCAAUGGGGGAAACCCUGACGCAGCGACGCCGCGUGGGUGAUGAAGGCCUU
This 427-nucleotide ribosomal RNA is filed under the name uncultured delta proteobacterium. Its description in RNAcentral is "bacterial SSU rRNA". It matches the Rfam family "Bacterial small subunit ribosomal RNA", at positions 9 to 418 of the family's 1533-position model. The record is from RNAcentral. Lineage: Bacteria; Deltaproteobacteria.